Molecule: ribosomal RNA, 777 nt
Filed under: Triticum aestivum (bread wheat)
Lineage: Eukaryota; Viridiplantae; Streptophyta; Magnoliopsida; Poales; Poaceae
Description: partial small subunit ribosomal RNA
Source: RNAcentral
AUGAGCUGCCCUGUCGACAUGUUCGGCCCACUGCCGGACGAGGUCCUCUGCCACGUGCUCUCCUUCCUGCCCUCGCGCGAGGCCGUGCAGACGUGCUGCCUCGCCCGCCGCUGGAGCCACCUCUGGAAAUCCGUCCCCGCCAUCCGCGUCCGCGGCGAGGGCGCCAAGUUCCUCCUCUUCGUCAACAACCUCAUCUUCGAACGCAACCUCGGCUCCGCGCCGCCGCUGCACUCGUUGGAGAUCGACGCCGACGUCGAGGUGCGCCUCGCCUGCUCUUACUGCAAGCUGCUUGACUGCGACUGCAACUUCGACGACUACCGCCACCGUCGCGAGGUCAAUGCCCAGGUCGACGACUGGGUCAGGCAUGCCCUGCGGGCGGGCCGCGCCCGCUCGCUCAGGGCCUGCUUCGGUGAGACCCGGUGGAAGCCCCGGCGCGCCCUCCCUUUCGCUUCACCGCAUCUGACGACGAUUCACCUCGACGCCGUUUGCCUCAGAGGCGGCCAGCUGGACUUCUCCUGCUGCCCGGCGCUGCUGCGGCUGGAUCUCGUGCUCUGCAGCCUCCACGGGGACGCGCUGGUGUCGCCCUCGCUGGAGCGCCUCGCCAUCAACGACUGCCACACCGACAUCUUUCAAGACCCCAACGCACCCGAUGAAAGGUUCCACAUGAGCUUGUCCACGCCAAGACUCCGUUUUGUGGAGAUAUCUGAUAACUACGACAAGGAACAGUUCCUUGAGAUGGCGCCAUGGUUGACGGAGGAGAGCAUCUCAUACUAUUGA